Molecule: ribosomal RNA, 497 nt
Filed under: uncultured bacterium
Lineage: Bacteria
Description: partial 16S ribosomal RNA
Rfam family: Bacterial small subunit ribosomal RNA
Source: RNAcentral
GAUGAACGCUGGCGGCGUGCCUAAUACAUGCAAGUCGAGCGAACAGACGAGGAGCUUGCUCCUCUGACGUUAGCGGCGGACGGGUGAGUAACACGUGGAUAACCUACCUAUAAGACUGGGAUAACUUCGGGAAACCGGAGCUAAUACCGGAUAAUAUAUUGAACCGCAUGGUUCAAUAGUGAAAGACGGUUUUGCUGUCACUUAUAGAUGGAUCCGCGCCGCAUUAGCUAGUUGGUAAGGUAACGGCUUACCAAGGCAACGAUGCGUAGCCGACCUGAGAGGGUGAUCGGCCACCCUGGAACUGAGACACGGUCCAGACUCCGACGGGAGGCAGCAGUAGGGAAUCUUCCGCAAUGGGCGAAAGCCUGACGGAGCAACGCCGCGUGAGUGAUGAAGGUCUUCGGAUCGUAAAACUCUGUUAUUAGGGAAGAACAAAUGUGUAAGUAACUAUGCACGUCUUGACGGUACCUAAUCAGAAAGCCACGGCUAACUACGUG